This is an RNA transcript of Telopea speciosissima, 3758 nucleotides long. RefSeq lists it as uncharacterized. The transcript is spliced from 12 exons. Lineage: Eukaryota; Viridiplantae; Streptophyta; Magnoliopsida; Proteales; Proteaceae. The record is from RefSeq and is a predicted model, not a curated record.
UUCUUGCCUUUCCAAAGGAGAGAAAAAAAAAGCUCUUCUGAGUUCUGAUCGCCUGAGUAGAGAGACUGGAGAGGGAGAUGGAAACUGAUCUGUCGCUCAUAGAAAUGAGCGGUGAAGAGGAAGACGAGUCACUACUACUACUGCGAGAGGAUAUCAACAAGGACAAGGAAGGCAACACCAACGGCAGUCUUCUUGAUCUCGAAUUCUCUUGCUCUCCACUCUGUACUCUCAGAUCUAAGCGUUCUUCUGCUGAUGCAUCCCAUCCUCCUACAAUCCAUCCUGUCCCAGACGGGUCUGAGGUGAAUGAGGGUGGGAAGAAACCUUGUUGUUCAUCACCACCAUCUCCGCAUGAAGGCAUCGUAGACAACAAAGAGAAUCUCGACAAAAGCAAUUUACUUGUGUCACCGAACAUGAAGGCUGGGCAGCAGCAAAUGAAGAGAAGAAAAAAGGGAGGUGGAUACAAUAUGCGUAAAAGCAUAGCCUGGAACAGAGCUUUCUUUACCGAAGAAGGUGUUCUCGAUUCUGAAGAAUUGUCCUUACUGAGUGAAUCUUUCAGUAAGCCUAGCCCUGGGUCCCUAUAUACUGUCAAGGAAGAAGAACAGACAUCACUGUCCGAGUGUUCUAUCUCAAGUGGUAAUGGAUCAAAUGUACAUUCUAACAAGGAGAAGUUAUUCAAAGAAUUGCCUGCAAGGCCUUCUGAUGAAGUUCACAAGGUUUGUGGUGGUUUAUUGCCCAAAUUAAAGUCUCCAGCUCGAGAAAAUACAGCUCCGAUGCAUAGGGCCUCACAGAAGGUGCAAUUAACCAAAGGAAUUCACAGUGUUGGGUCUCGACAAGGAAGUUGUCCCCAGCCAGUGGGUUCUACUUCUCAGAAGCAGCUUCCCAACAGAAACGCAACAAGUGCAACAAAGAAAGAAUCAAAACUUCCUAAAUUCUCAGCUACGAAGCCAGAUUCUUCUUCAAUACCUACUACCCCCAAAACCUUUAAUUUGUCUACCAAGCAGUCAAGGUCCAGUCAGAAUGGUGCAACAGCAGUUCAUGCAGGGAGGAAUUCUGGAUUGAAAGGAAACUUAAGUAAUGCUAAAAAAACUCUUGGCUGCACUCCCUCAUCCACUAAAUCCUCUGUGCGCAGUUCUCUGAAAGUCUUGGCCAACUCUCAUUCAAAAACACAAUUAGCAGCCAAUCCCAAGACACUUCAGGAUAGAAAAGGUACUAAAAUUGGGUUGAAGGUGGCUUCAGAUCCAACAAUUCCUGCUGCUGAUAUGCAAGCAUCCACUGGUCAGGCUGGUCCAGGCAAAACGGCUGUUCUGCUCCCACAAAACUCCCAAUAUGUUGGUGUGGACAAUCAAAAUAACGUGAAUUUCCAACCAACCAAACCAUCAGGUUUGCGGAUGCCUUCUCCUUCGCUACGAUACUUUGAUCAGCAGACAAAAGCUUCAACUCUGCGCGGCUUGCAAUGUCAAAUGAAUACUCAACCAUACAGUCAUCCGGAUGCUAAUGUUCCUAACUCGAGGAAGGAUGGUAAAUCUGAGAAUAUUGGUAUGGUCACAGCUCUCCAUGCACCUCUGCCUAUGGUGGGUCAUGAUGCCACAACCACAAGAACCAUGGGGCACUUAAGUUCAGGCAAUAAUGAUGAGGUCAAGCUGCUCCAUGCACAGAGUAGAUUGGCCAUGGUGGGCACUGCUGCUGCAAGUAACAAUGACAUGGUCUCCGUGAACUCAACUUUGGGGUGCUCCAUUCCUUCUGCACCUGCUUCUUCUCAUCCAACCCCAAAAUCAAGCUUAGAGCUUAAGAAUCAGUACAAGGUGGAAAUCGAAGUUCCCUCUCAUCUCAAUGGUUCUUAUGACACAAUAAAUUGUCAGGAUCAGCAGGCACAUGGUGUUUCUGAUUGUGGUAACAAGGAAUCUGCGAACCUGGCUGAUGUAGUGAAACCCAUCCUUGACGAAAUUGACCAUAUUCCUCAUGACAAUAAGCAGAGAUUCCAUAUGAACGAUAAUAUGUUGCUCAUACGAAGCGGAUCUCCUGAACAAUCCCAUAAGUCUAAUGAUUUUGAGAACCAUCAUGAUGUUUGUCCUCAAAAUAGCUAUUCCAGGUCAAGUGCAUCAGAAAUAUCACAGGCUUCAUCUCCAUCCAUUUCCACAAUGGCAGAGAAAGGGGUUUUGAGUGGGAAAGAAGGCCUAAUCAAGCACCCAAUUUAUGAAGGUGUGGCAUUGGAAUCUAUAAGUUGCAGUGCAUUAAAUGAAAAUCAUGAUGUUUUCUCUGAUACAGUGUUAUCUGAUGCCACUGAGUGUUGCAACCCAGGGACAUCAAUGCCAAGUGCUGAUUGCUUACCAGCUGGUCAUGGUUUAAGAGAAGAGUCCAAUGAACAAUUAGAGGUUAGAGAGCCUGGUGCUUUUGAAUUUUGCCAAACCUUUCACAAGGAUAACCUGAAAAAGCAGAUGAAAGGUAACAAUUUUCUGGGACAAAGAACUGAAGAAUUUCAGGAAGAGAAUGAUAUUCCUACUGAACUGGAUAUUCAGCAAAAUUUUCAUAUGGAUUAUGAAAAAUUGGAGAUGAAUGAUGAUAACUUGGUUGGACAAGGAAGACCUUCUGAAGAAUUACAAAAGGUGAAUAAUCAUUGCCAUGUUAGUGAUGUUAAUCCAGAAAGCAGGGUCUCAGAUGGAACUGAAUUUGGAAGUUCUCAUUUUUCAUCUAACCUAAGCUCUGUAAGCCAAGUGCAAGUAGGUACCCCUGGAACAGGUAACGUAAUUAAGAGCCCAAAUGUGGAAGAUCCAAAAUUGGAGUCUUUACAUGGCGACUUAUCAUUUGACAGGGUUAACCACAUCUGUGAUCCACAAUUAGAAGAUGUUGCUUGCAAAUGCAACACUGGUUCUUUGGUGCUGCACAAUGAUUGCUUGAGACUUGGUGAGGAUGAAUAUUCCGGGAAUCAAGCAGUGCUAAGAAAUUCUUUCCCUAAUAAAACUGAACAGAUGUUGCAGAUGAAUGAACAUACACUGCUGAUGGAUAAUGAGGCAUUGCUAGCAGAAAUGAGGUUUUCCAAAGAAGCCCAGCAAGAUAAUGAUCCUGACAACCUUAUUAACAUCACUUUGAAAAGAAAGGAUUGUAAUGCAAGUGAAUCCCAAAGCCCUCAUGUUCUUCCUCAGCUAAAACUUGCAAAACAAGAUAUCGAAGUUUCAGCUGAAACAUCUAAGGUGACUAAACAAUCACAUGUGCAAGAUGCAGCACAACUGAACAUAUCAGCAAAUAGAAAUGUCUUACUAGAUGCUAUUCACGCUGAUCUGUUUCAUAAUGAUAAUACUCAAGAUGGUGAACUUCAGAAUGUGACAGAGACUGGAUUUCCUUUGAAGGUCAAUGAGACAAGUGUCCCAGUUGAAGGAAAAACUGUGGAUGGUUCAAAGCCUGAUUCUCUUCCUCAGCAGAACAUUGUUCCAUUUUCUGAUGAAUGGUUAGCUGCUCUUGAGACUGCCGGGGAGGAGAUUCUGACAAGAAAAAGUGGAGCUGUGCAAAACUCACCACCUGACAAGUCUCUUCCGGAACCCAGCCCAUGGUCCCCGGCUUAAAGCUAAUGAUGAGGGCCUAGUGGUAACUAGUAGAGGUUAUCAGACUGAAGUGGUGCAUUUUAUAAGGUGAAACGGAAGAGCAACCAAGAGAUUGGUCCAUUUGACUGCACAAAGUACACUAACUUGCCGAGCAGCCCCAAGUGACUUAUAGCCAUGGUGGUAGCCUUCGGGUCUUUUCUUGCUUACAUGAUGUAACGAUUU